UAGGGAAUCUUCCCGCAAUGGGGCGAAAGCCUUGACGGAGCAAUGCCGCGUGAGUGAUGAAGGUUUUCGGAUCGUAAAGCUCUGUUGCCAGGGAAGAACGCUUGGGAGAGUAACUGCUCUCAAGGUGACGGUACCUGAGAAGAAAGCCCCGGCUAACUACGUG
RNAcentral lists this ribosomal RNA (163 nucleotides) under Paenibacillus sp. 27c. RNAcentral describes it as "partial 16S ribosomal RNA". It matches the Rfam family "Bacterial small subunit ribosomal RNA", at positions 355 to 507 of the family's 1533-position model. The record is from RNAcentral. Lineage: Bacteria; Bacillati; Bacillota; Bacilli; Caryophanales; Paenibacillaceae.